CGGGGUGUAGCGCAGCUGGUAGCGUGCUGGUUUCGGGUACCAGAGGUCGUGGGUUCGAGCCCCGCCACCCCGA
This 73-nucleotide transfer RNA is filed under the name Candidatus Termititenax persephonae. It matches the Rfam family "tRNA". From Rfam's summary of the family: Transfer RNA (tRNA) molecules are approximately 80 nucleotides in length. Their secondary structure includes four short double-helical elements and three loops (D, anti-codon, and T loops). Lineage: Bacteria; Bacillati; Candidatus Margulisiibacteriota; Candidatus Termititenacia; Candidatus Termititenacales; Candidatus Termititenacaceae. The record is from Rfam by way of RNAcentral.